ACACCGCCAGUCAGGAGUCAGGGCGUCUGCCCUUUUUUUUUUUUUUUACGUAUCUAAGCACAUCCCUGACCGCCCGGGGACACGCUAUAAAUGUUCGCUUCUUAUUGUACACGGUGACCAGGGAUUCCCAUUCAUUUCACUGUAAUAGGUGUUGGCGUUUGAUAAGCCAUUGUUAAUCAAAGCUGAAAGCGAAAAGCGCCUGUCUCUCCGUAUGUCCGCAAAAUCCGCACUACAACAAAAUGGCCGCCGCUAUGCGCAAAAAGUGAGGGCGGCUCCCGCAGCCCCUCCCCGGAAGUGGCGCGUAGGCUAAUCCUGGAAGUGAUGAUAGGAAAAGAGCCAAUAACUUCCCUUCAAUGUGUUUUAAAGAAAGAAACAGGACUGUCCCCUGCUGGAAUGUAUGUAUUUGUGUGCAUCACAUGAUCACCUCUGCUGAGAUUUCCCGAGGGGGCACUUCUAGAAGAAACUGGAUCCAUAAUAAUUGCUAAUGCAAAGAGAGUGGAUAAGAUGACGGAGCGUAUACUGAACCUCACCCUAGAGAUCAUCUAUCUGCUGACCGGAGAGGAUUACAAAGUGGUGAAAAAGACAUCUGGUGAUCAUGUGACACCCAGCAACCAUUUAUCAGGGAGAUGGAGUUGGGGUCCCAUCAUAGAGCCUCCACCUCCCUCCCUGACACCUGAGAGAAACAAUGAUAUAAAGAUCCUAGAAGUCACCCGGAAGAUCACUGAGUUGCUGACGGGAGAGGUGAGCGGUGCCGGGAAUU
Long non-coding RNA from Rana temporaria (common frog), 760 nucleotides. RefSeq lists it as uncharacterized. Lineage: Eukaryota; Metazoa; Chordata; Amphibia; Anura; Ranidae. The record is from RefSeq and is a predicted model, not a curated record. The transcript is spliced from 3 exons.